Molecule: unclassified non-coding RNA, 300 nt
Filed under: uncultured Powellomyces
Lineage: Eukaryota; Fungi; Chytridiomycota; Chytridiomycetes; Spizellomycetales; Powellomycetaceae
Description: sequence contains 5.8S rRNA gene, ITS2
Rfam family: 5.8S ribosomal RNA (bases 1-71)
Source: RNAcentral
GUGAGUCAUCGAAUCUUUGAACGCACAUUGCGCUCUCUGGUAUUCCGGGGAGCAUGCUCGUUUCAGAAUCAUUAACAUUCUCAAAGACACGGUAUGAACCUUCGGGUGGCGCCGUUCCUCUUUCGGAUGUGAGCCUUUUUGCUGCAAGGCAAUGGCUUGAAAAUGAUUGUGUUUGCAACCGGCUUUUUGGUUCGGUUCUCUCAAGUGCAACAGAUGUUAGCUCAUUCGUUACCUCUUGAUGGGAAGCGUUUCCUUUGUCCGGAUGAUCCUACACUCAACCAACUAACACUUUCAGUGAUC